GACGAACGCUGGCGGCGUGCUUAACACAUGCAAGUCGAACGAGAUCCAAUGUGUAGCAAUACACAGGAAGAUCUAGUGGCGAACGGGUGAGGAACACGUGAGAAACGUACCCCAGACUUUGGGAUAACAGUCCGAAAGGACUGCUAAUACCAAAUAACGUCGGAAGUCCGCAUGGACAUCUGACGAAAGGGAUUCCGGUUUGGGAGCGUCUCGCGGACCUAUCAGCUAGUUGGAGGGGUAACGGCCCACCAAGGCAACGACGGGUAGCUGGUCUGAGAGGAUGGGCAGCCACACUGGGACUGAGACACGGCCCAGACUCCUACGGGAGGCAUGAGUGGGGGAUCUUGCGCAAUGGGCGGAAGCCUGACGCAGCAACGCCGCGUGCGGGAAGAAGGCUUUCGGGCUGUAAACCGCUUUCAGUAGGAACGAAACUGACGGUACCUACAGAAGAAGGAGCGGCCAACUAUGUG
This 470-nucleotide ribosomal RNA is filed under the name uncultured bacterium. RNAcentral describes it as "partial 16S ribosomal RNA". It matches the Rfam family "Bacterial small subunit ribosomal RNA", at positions 28 to 507 of the family's 1533-position model. The record is from RNAcentral.